Molecule: long non-coding RNA, 781 nt
Organism: Maniola jurtina (meadow brown)
Lineage: Eukaryota; Metazoa; Arthropoda; Insecta; Lepidoptera; Nymphalidae
Exons: 2
Source: RefSeq, a predicted model, not a curated record
UGUCAUGUCACUCAAUAAUAAGAGAUGUAUGAGAACAAUGAGAAUUAAAUUAUUGUGGAAUUGUGCUAGGAUAAUCUUUCUUUCAGGAUUAUCUUUUUCAUUUUGAGGAUGCAUUGAUGAAAAGCAAAAUAUCAGAACUUAUAGCUAGCGAAUUUUUUCGCAAGGACCGCUGCCCGGCUGCGGGGGAUUCCUAUGAUUUGUAUAUCACUGUUCAGCAUCAUCACUGCGGCAACCCUGGUGUGCUGCCUACCAUAUUGUGCCCGAGGCUUAUUGACCCCUACGUGCUCCUGCCCACCUGUCCCCGUGUGCCCUGAUUGUGGAAUGCCCUAUUAAUUGCACACCCACUGUGGAACACAUUUUGUACUACAUAGUACAACUAUUAUAACUUUUAUAAUAUCUAAAGAGUUUCUUCUGUGAGUUAACUAUUUUCUAAAUCAUACUUCGGUUAUUUUAAUUUGAAAUCCAAGCCAGAUAUUUAUAAUUUUAUUAGCAUCUUACACGUUGAUGUUAAAUUGGAGUUGUUAGUAAAUAUGAUUUGUAUGUCAGCUAUAACAGCGCUGGUCGCUGUGGGUUUGAUUGCAUGUGGUCCAGUACUUUGUGAGAGAUGCUUCAGUUGUUUCUUAAUGAGCACAAAAACCAAAAAAUAGUUCUUGUCAAUGAUGGAAUACUGUGUUGUUAAUACAAUUUUGCUGUAACAGAAUUAGCCACAGUGUCUGUGAUUAUUGUCAUUUCCUUUUUAGUAGCUGUGAAUUAACUUGGUACAAUAAAUGCUUUAAAAAUG